This is a long non-coding RNA of Cygnus olor (mute swan), 1252 nucleotides long. RefSeq lists it as uncharacterized. The transcript is spliced from 2 exons. NCBI's taxonomy places the organism in Eukaryota, Metazoa, Chordata, Aves, Anseriformes, Anatidae. The record is from RefSeq and is a predicted model, not a curated record.
UGGUGGUGGUGGUGGUGGUGAGGUGGUGGUGGUGGGGACGGGGACGGGGGGGGGGGGGGAGCGGCCGGAUUAUUUUAUUUUAACUUAAAUUAAUGGUUAUUUUUAUUUUAUUUUGCAAACCACUCCUCAAAAUGUGAAACUUGAAGAGCCGGAGAGGGUGUUUUAACCCGGUGGAAAGCGGCGGGGAAGGGAAGGGGGGGAGGUGAGCAGAGGGGGGAGCACACACGUCUCUAUCCGGGGAGCCCCAAGACCCACCCACCCCCCCCCCCCCCCCCGGCACCCUCUUCGGGUGUGAGGGGGGCGCUGGGGGUGGGCACCGGGGGUCCCAGGGGGGUGGGCAGCUCCCGGGCUGCUGCAGCAUGCGCGCACCCGUAAAUCAGGCUAAGAGGGGCUUAGACGGAGCUGUCCUCGCCCUGCCCCUCGUGGGGGGGGGGGGGGGACACGCCACGAGUCACAUAGCCCAAAACGCCACCGGCUGUGUCCGGAGGUGGAGGUGCCCGGGCUGGGGCUGUAGGGUGCCCCCCAACCCCGAUCCCCAUCUCCAUCGCGGCACCUGGGGCAAAGUGGUUUUUUUUUUUUGGGGGGGGGAAAGGAGGGGGACAAUGCAGGGCACGGGGAGGCUUUUUCACCAGUCCUCUUCACGCCCCUGAGCUGCACCCUUGAGCUUGUGCCCCAUUGCACCCCAUUGCACCCCAUUGCACCCCAUUGCACCCCAUUGCAUGCUAUCGCACCCCAUUGUGCCCCAUCGCACCCCGUUGCUCCCCAUAGCACCCCAUUGUGCUCCAUAGCACCCCAUCACACCCCACUGUGCCCCACCGCACCCCAUUGCCCCCAUCGCACCCCAUCGCACCCCACUCACCCCAUUGCGCCCCAUCGCACCCCGCACUCUGAUCCCAGUUUUUGGGGUUCUCCCCCCCGCUCUGUGGCACAGGGACAUCGCACGGCGGGGGGCACGGGGGCUCUGUCCUCAUCACAGCCCCAUGGAAAAAGGGAAUAGGGGGAAAAAAACUCCCUGUUUUCACCCAACGUGGGCUGGGCAGGGGGCCGCAGGGCCAAGACCCCCCCCCCCAAACACCUACAGAGGAGGGCUCAGCACCAUCAUCACCCCCUGCCCCCCAGGACCGUGACCCCCCCCCCCCCCCGCAGGACCCCCAAAGCACAGGCUGCCCCUACAGCAGGGACGGGGGGGGGGGGGGGGGGGGGGACGACACACCGAGACGUGCACUGACCCCUCUUGAACCCCCCCCCACCC